CUACGGGGGGCAGCAGUGGGGAAUAUUGGACAAUGGGCGAAAGCCUGAUCCAGCCAUGCCGCGUGUGUGAAGAAGGCCUUCGGGUUGUAAAGCACUUUCAGUGGGGAAGAAAGCCUUGGGGCUAAUACCCUCGAGGAAGGACAUCACCCACAGAAGAAGCACCGGCUAACUCCGUGCCAGCAGCCGCGGUAAUACGGAGGGUGCGAGCGUUAAGCGGAAUUACUGGGCGUAAAGCGCGCGUAGGCGGUCUGAUAAGCCGGUUGUGAAAGCCCCGGGCUCAACCUGGGAACGGCAUCCGGAACUGUCAGGCUAGAGUGCAGGAGAGGAAGGUAGAAUUCCCGGUGUAGCGGUGAAAUGCGUAGAGAUCGGGAGGAAUACCAGUGGCGAAGGCGGCCUUCUGGACUGACACUGACGCUGAGGUGCGAAAGCGUGGGUAGCAAACAGGAUUAGAUACCCGUGUAGUC
RNAcentral lists this ribosomal RNA (464 nucleotides) under Vreelandella stevensii. Its description in RNAcentral is "partial 16S ribosomal RNA". It matches the Rfam family "Bacterial small subunit ribosomal RNA", at positions 339 to 795 of the family's 1533-position model. Lineage: Bacteria; Pseudomonadati; Pseudomonadota; Gammaproteobacteria; Oceanospirillales; Halomonadaceae. The record is from RNAcentral.